Triticum aestivum (bread wheat) is the source of this 5738-nucleotide long non-coding RNA. RefSeq lists it as uncharacterized. The transcript is spliced from 5 exons. The record is from RefSeq and is a predicted model, not a curated record. Lineage: Eukaryota; Viridiplantae; Streptophyta; Magnoliopsida; Poales; Poaceae.
CCCCACCCAUGCACGCGUUCGACAGAUAAAAAACCCCACCCCCGAUUCGAGCAACCGCUCUUCCCACCGAUGGAUCCGCCGCCUCCCCGCCGCUGGCCCGCAUCCUCCGCCACGCCAUCCUCCGCCGCGCCGUCCUCACCGCACACUGGCCUGCCUCCUCUCCGCCGCGCCUCCUCCCCGCGUUGUCCGAGUCGUCCGCGCGCUAUUCGGCGACGCCGAGGCACAGGCCGCCGCACUCCGGGCCGUGCCGGCCGGCUCGAGCGCACGCCGCCGACCGCGACCGGCUGCUCAACACGCUCCUCUCCGCCGCGGGCAACGGCCGGGAGGAGGAGGAAACGCGGGAGGCGGGGCAGCAUCAGAAUCAUCGCGCGUCGGAUCCAGCUGAUGCUUACGGCGACACAGACGCGGAGGCUCUGGCCGCGGCCGCCGUGCUCCCUCCGGUCAUCACCUUCCCGCGAGCUCACUUCCACCCUAGCCUCUCCCCCUUUCCUCUUUGUUUUUUUAACUGAUUCCCAACUGCUUGAUCAAUCCUGCUCCUCUGCUCCUGCAGGAUGGCUUUCUCUGUUCAAUUGUUUAAUUUGGUUGUCUUUGUCUUACCUGAACUGCAAGGGAACCAAUUUAUGUCAGCAAGGAAGGAAGUGUCACUAUUAAGCUUCCAGCAGUCUACAUGAGGUGGCAACCAAUGAUUGGGUUCGGGAUCAAGCGGCGUAUCCCCCUUAUUAUGGAACAGACACCGAGGCUUUCCCUUCCUUAUGUACGCAAUUAUCACGUAAGUGCCAUACUCUUCAGAUUAACAUUAGGACUCUUGCUCGGCCUGUUUCAUCACACGUAGCGAGCAAAUUUUGAAGCCAGUCUUCACCAGUAUAACUGAAUGCCUCCUCUGAUGGUAGCAACCAAUAUUUCCUAAGUUCACCCCUCAAGGCUCUCGCGUACUUGCAGGUAACAUCCUAUCCUGGCCGUGCACGAGUAAGUUCACAGGUGAUAAAACUACGUUAGUGAUUUCUCUGUUUACUUUAUGACCAACUGUGAUAUCACCAACUGUGAUCUUGGGCCAUGCAACUUGGAACAUCAAGUAAUAACUUCUUACUUUUUUUAGAGAAACUUCUUACAGAAUUGCAUGUUGUUAUUUGCACUCUGUCACCUGGAGACCUACUAAUGCACAUUGGGUUCACGAUGAUCUUGGGGCAAGACUUUAGAUGGAUGACAAGCAGAUGCAGUUACUUGCCUAUUUUAUUUGUAUAAUAGGAUGUUGUUACUUGCCUUCGAGUGUGUCAUUGUGGCGAUGUGUUCUUUUUUCUCUAUUAAUUGCCAGAGAGGCAAAGAUAGUUCAAGUUUCUUUGAUUCUAUAUUUGAUGAGUUUGUCCUGGAAUUCUAAAUCAUGCAAGUAUUUUAUCUGCUUGCGAUAGUACUGUUUGAAAAACACAGACACUAUUCCAUCUGCAUGGGUCUGAUCUGCAGUUGACCUCUUUUGAUCAGCAUAUUCCGCAAUGAGCAACGAUAAUCUCAUUGUUGAUAUUCCCAAACUCCUCAACACAUGUCACCUACCCUGCUUCCUACUUUCAACUUCCAAUGUAUUUUGUGAUUGAGAUUGUGCACAUGAGCUAUUUGUGAGAAUGUCAGCAAACGAUGGAACUAGAUUAUGCACGGCUUUCCGUUGGCUGAAUGGCUCUCACAUGUUCUACUGCUGCAAAUUUGUGUCAUCAAGGGUACCUCCUUCAGGCGUUUUAAAUAUACUUUUGAUAUUGCAUAUUAUGAUGAUUUUAUAACAGUGUACCUGCAAUUAGUUUGUAAUCAUCAUUUUCUGUUGCCGAGGGGUGUUCUCCAUUGGUGAUGAUCCAACAACUGAUGCUUCAUUUCCGGAUUAACAAGAAAGGUCAAACUGACUAAAAAAUGUAAGGACAUCAGCAUCUUCUCUUUCUCUAUUAUGAGAGCAUACUGCAUACGAACAACCAAUAAUACCUUUCAUGAUUCAGGCUCCUGUUCUUUUUUACCCUCUGCAGUCCUGAAGGAAGAGGAUACACGACCUUUCCUGUAUUUUUAUCGGUGUCUCCAUUGUUGUACACACUUAGAUACGUCCCAAUAAUGGAAUAUAUUUUUGAGAAAGAUAUCUGUACCUACAAAGUACAUCUCUACAAAUAAUUCACUCAUUUUAAAUGAUACUUCAAUCUGCAUGUUGUUUGCAAAGCUCUAAUUUUAAUUUAUCAAGCCUUACUAUGCUUUAAAUUAUGCCAGUACUAUAUUUGAUGUGUGUCCAAGUUACCAGCUAUGGUAUUCAUCUUCUUUCUCCUUCUUUUGGUGGGUUUUAUUUUGAUGAGCAGAAACAGCCACCCUACCAUGUACUCAGGAAAGGAACAUGCUUGGUUCUUCUAUCUAUAUUGUUUCUGUAGCUUAUGUACUUCAGGUUUUCACUAUUAUAGUGUUGUGUCCCUUUUGAGGAAGCCAUGGAAACCAUGGUGUGCUUUGUGCACUACUACCUUAGUAGUUGGCCUUCAAAAAGGGACCAAGAUAUAUGUUCAUCGUAAUUGCUAAUAUUUUCUGAUUCUCUUUUGUUCUAUUUUCAGUCCAUAAACUGCAUUUCCAGUGGGAGAGGGACGUAUAAGUGCGAGAGGUACCCGUUCAUCCAACGUCCUCUGCGUUGUUUGCUCUGGCUGUGCGCGUGCGCGCAAUUUGUGGCUGCCGCUUCCUUGCCAUUUUCCUUAUUUUUGUACCUGAGAGAUAAAUAAGGAAGCAAGGAGAGGCUAAUUAACUGGUGGGACAGUCAGGUAACUGAACUAUAGUAGAGCCUCUUCAGUAAGAGAACAUAAAUUGAUCGUGCCAUAAAUCUACUUAUUGAUCUUUAUAGCCUGCACUACAGGCUGUAGAGUUAAGUUUGUACAUUUUGCGAAAUUGUAUUGUUCCAGCUCCUCUUAUUAUACACUUUAACUGUCAGGUUAUUUACUAUGUGCAGAUUUCCUUUUGGUACUCCCUCCGUCACGGUUUAGAAGGCGCGAUUGGAAAUUCUCUGGGACCUAGGCGGUUAUCUAUUGGUUGUGAGAUGGACUAAAAAAUAGCAUUCACGCUAAGCAUGCAUAUAGAAAUAGUAUAUCGGAGUACUAAUUAGCUAUUAGAAAUAAAUGCAAUGCGCCCUAAACCAUGUCUAUUGUGGAAACGCACGCAAAUUUAACUGUGCCUUCUAAACUGUGACGGAGGGAGUAUUGCUGAUCGUGCCAUAAAUUUACUUAUUGAUCUUUUUCCGGUUAUGCUAAUCUUACAUCCUUCUCUUAUUUGUGGGCCUAAUAAUUAUUCAAAAGGGAUGCUACAUGUUCCUAGAUGCACCAGAUCACUAAAUCUGGUCUGACUUGACCUUUGUCCCUCACUUCACUCAAGAUCAGAGACUUUAGUGGGAAGUUAGUUGGGGUAAUUUGUGAUCAAGCUUGACGUUCUUGCCUAUUUUGUUCUACUUUCAUUCGUAUUGCCAUGCCACGUAAUUUCCGUAGUAGCAUGGCCUUUCUUAUACAGAAUUUCAUAACACUCGUAUGUUUUUGAGGGAUAACACUGCAAUUUUAGAUAGGUUUUUUUUGUAGAAGUCUUAAACUGAAAUCCGAACAAACUUAUCUCCAAAGGCCAGCAUAAUGGUGCUUAAAAGAAAUGCUAAUCUGCACUCACAAUCCCUUGCGUUGGCAUGGUUCAAGGAUAGGUUCAGCGUGCCUGUUUGGGCCGGCACAUGUUUGAGCGGCCUGUUAUUAUUAUUUUUCCUUUUUUGUUUUCUUUAUUUUCUCCUUUAAAUAAUCUGGUACUUUUAAAAAAUAAAAAUUAGAAAAAAGGGAAAUUUUAAAUAAAAUGUUCAAUAAAUCAUAAAAUAUUUAUGAAUUCAAAAAAUGUUUGUAUUUUUUAAAGUCGCGUAUUCAAAAAAUAUUCAGAAUUCUGGAAACAAAUAUUUGGGAAAUAAAAAAUUCAUGUUUUUUUAAAAGUUCAUGUUUAAACAAAAUGUUUGUUAAAAUGCUUUUUUAGAAACACCUGUAACUUUGUUGAUCAUUACAAUUACAGGUACACUGAUUUGAACCUAAGAUCCAAGAAAAUAUAAAGUAACUCAUAUGACUAAGAAUUACCGUGAAAUCUCUUGUAAACACCUUCUUGGCGGUAGUAUUCUCUGCUCGAAAAAAUACUCCAAAGUCUUCGGUAAAGGGGCUACAAUUAAACUGGAACAAUGAUGUUAUCACUCUUUCACCCGCACGAACAUUAUCAAUAAUGGUUUUUGAGAGCUUGUCUUGAGUCGCCCAUCUAAACAGAUGAGAAGCCUUGAUCGAUGAAUGUACUUGGGCCGGGGAUGAUCCCCUAGAAGUGCAGGCCAUCAAAUCACUAUAUCUUCAUCAUGGCGCCGAUGAAAGAUUUCACCUCCACAAAGAAUCAAACCAACAAAAAAAGCUUAACACAGUAGCAUAAACUCAUCAGAUCUGAAUAAUCGGAUCUCCGAGGACACAAAACUCUCUAACCUCAUGGCACUGCCAAGAGAAUGAGAGAAAGUUUAUUCUCACAAAACUAUGAUGAUCACUAGGCGUUGAUGAAGAAUAUAGAGGUCUUGAAGAUCCAAGGUCCAAGAUGGCGGCUAGAGGCGAGGGGCCAAAAUGUUAUAUGUGAAGCCGCAAAAUGUUGUCAUGGCCUUUGAAGAGUAUGAUUUUUUGGAGUGCCUGAGCCAGAUUGGACUUAGCUACUAUAAGAAGGAAGGGGCCUCGGUCGAUAUCUCCAUCAAAUCCCGUCGGCAUUGCAACUUUCGACGACACGUCCAAUGUCGCUGCCGAGUUCGCAGGCGGAAGAAGAACAUCCGUCGAGCCGUCCAAUGUCGCCUGCGGCGGCUACACGAGAGGUGCCAAAGGCGUCCGAUCGAACUCAGUUGGAGGCCAAACAAGUUCGGCUCUUGGACAUGCCACCAAUAACGCUCGAUGACACGAUGCGCAUACUUGAGGCAAUUUAGUUGCACGCCUUCAGUUACAAAAAAAGUAACAAGAGUUGUUGAAAAUACGAAUGGGUCAUCAAUGGUCGCAGAACAGGAGAGCAAUUUCAAUGGACAAUGGAAACAUGAGUAAAAGAAGCAACUAAACGGAGGCCGCUCGCCCAGAGUGUCUCGGAGGAGGAUGUCACUUCCGCUGGAUUGGUGGAUGACUACUUCUUGGUGGUGUAUGGAUGUCGCACUGUAUGGAUCUUGAACUGUAGUUGGAUAGUUCCUGGCCUCAUUCCAGGAGGCUGAUUGGAGCCUGCCAGCUGCAAUGAAGUCCUCCAUAGAGAAGGAUUUGCAGAAAAUGAUCUUGGCAUCCUAGAUAAGCAGGUCGGGGUCAAAGCCGGUGCCCAGGGGGAUCAAUGGAUCACCAACACGAGAAACUGAAAUGGCAGGACCAGAAAAGAUGGUCCCAGAUCUCACUGCAGCCGGAUGUGCAAGAACACAUCAAUGAUCAUCUGUGAGACUGUGACACUGAAAUUUUGUCGAUGGAGCAUUAUCUCUACUAUUUAGCUUCUAGAGUCAAUGACUUGUACGUCCAACUAUAACAGCUAGCAGCAUGGUUUAUUCCCUUCUGGUUGUACGUACAAUGACUUUGUAAACCAAUGCUGCAAGUGUUUGUUGGGACAAGCCCAAAUAGUGUUCCAAUUUUUACGAAAACUAGUUAGCAUGCACGUGCAACGCACGUCUCAAACAAUUAUCAUAUAAGUUCACAUAGUAUAUUAUUGAAACAAGUCUUGAAAAAAAAAAUCAAAGGAAUACAAAA